Astatotilapia calliptera (eastern happy) is the source of this 1089-nucleotide long non-coding RNA. The record is from Ensembl. Lineage: Eukaryota; Metazoa; Chordata; Actinopteri; Cichliformes; Cichlidae.
CAGAGCUGGUCCUAAGAAACAAACACAUCCUGUAAUAAACUGAAUACCUGUAGUAGUGCUGCUGCAAAUAUGAAGCCCUUCUAUCAUGUGUGGUUUCAAAGAAGGCUCAGUCACAGAAACUGUGCAGUCUGUUCAGUCCUGAGUGUCUCAGCUCUGAAGGGGAUGAAUCACAGAGGGAAACACCUGAGUACAGACAUUACAAUACACUCUAACACUCCUAAGGUCAAGUGAAAACACAAUUUAAACAGUUUACAAAGAAUGAAUACAUGUUUUCAUGGAAAUAAUGUCAUUAACCCUUUUUGUUGUUAGUAAAUCUCACCGACUGCUUGUGGGACAAGCUAGAAGGAAGACUUAUCACAGAAUCUCUCCUGUGCUCCAGAUGUGAAGUCUCACGCUCUGAUCGUAUGGCGAUGAAGAUGGUGAUGAUGAAGUUUCUCUGAUCUGUGGCAUUACAGUUUCUAGCUGCUAUGUGCUUCACACUGUUGGAUCUUACAUGUGAAGCUUGGAGAAGACACAGGAGGACUGUGUCUCUCUUAAAAAGAAAAAAAAAGAAAAACAAAGGAAACCUAACAGGAAUGGAAACCCCCCCCCCCCUCAACUCCCACCGUAACCCCCCCCCCCCCCCCCUCCCACUCAACUCCCCAACCUCACACCAUCCAAUGUAGGGUAUCAGCUGGUAACAGAAAGCAAGUGUUACAUAUGUACUACAUAUGUAACACUGCUGAAACAUUUCUGGCCAGAAAUGUGCAGUUAUCAACCCAGACCCACCCUAAUAAAUGCACUGGCCGAAACAUGAUAAAAGCUCAUAAAAAUUUAUGUUUCAUAGAAAAAUUUGUCCAAAAAUAUAAUCGUAUACUUUUGAAAAAGUUUAAAGUUUAUAACAAACCAAAAUAAUAACAUUUUUGUAAAUAGUAUUUCAAAAUAGAGGCACACAUAAAGUGGCUUAACUGUCAUUAUUGCUGUAAUUAGGUUUGUUUGUUUGUUUUUUUAAAAAGCAACCUUUAGUCAUUAUUGUUCUCUCAGAAACAAUGAAGAAGCUGUUGAACAUUUAUGUGUUGUGUAGGCAAUCCUCUGGUCCACCCUCCCUCC